RNAcentral lists this ribosomal RNA (251 nucleotides) under uncultured bacterium. Its description in RNAcentral is "partial 16S ribosomal RNA". It matches the Rfam family "Bacterial small subunit ribosomal RNA", at positions 102 to 339 of the family's 1533-position model. The record is from RNAcentral.
CACGGGUGAGUAACGCGUAGGUGACCUACCAUAUGGCGGGGGAUAACUAGAAGAAAUUUUAGCUAAUACCCCAUAAGCAACACAAUCUUGAAAGUAGUGUUGGAAAGGAUGGGACCUUCGGGCCAUCCACCGUUUGAUGGGCCUGCGUAGCAUUAGCUAGUUGGUGGGGUAAUGGCCUACCAAGGCGACGAUGCUUAGCUGGUCUGAGAGGAUGAUCAGUCACACUGGAACUGAGACACGGUCCAGACUCC